This 103-nucleotide small nucleolar RNA is filed under the name Nannospalax galili (Upper Galilee mountains blind mole rat). RNAcentral's name for it is "Small nucleolar RNA U13 (ENSNGAG00000007729.1)". It matches the Rfam family "Small nucleolar RNA U13". The record is from Rfam by way of RNAcentral. Lineage: Eukaryota; Metazoa; Chordata; Mammalia; Rodentia; Spalacidae.
AUCCUUUUGUGGUUCAUAAGCGUGAUGAUUGGGUGUUCACGCGCAUGUGUGACAUGUGCCACCCUCAAAUCUUGUUAUGCACUGGCACAUUACCCUUCUGACG